RNAcentral lists this unclassified non-coding RNA (248 nucleotides) under fungal sp. Its description in RNAcentral is "partial internal transcribed spacer region". The stretch from base 1 to 46 matches the Rfam family "Eukaryotic small subunit ribosomal RNA", at positions 1786 to 1831 of the family's 1831-position model. The record is from RNAcentral. Lineage: Eukaryota; Fungi.
AAGUCGUAACAAGGUAUCCGUAGGUGAACCUGCGGAUGGAUCAUUACCAAAGGAUCCCAUCCAACCACUUGUGAACUGGUCUAAUAGGUCGGUACCUGCAGCCAGGUGCUGGGCCACGCUGCCUUCGGGUAGCGCGUCCUGGCUCUGGCAACUGGUGCCGGCCGGAACAACACGUACUUUAAACUUGAACUGAAGUAAAACUUUAAGAACUUUAGAGACAACUUUUAGCAAUGGAUCUCUAGGCUCUU